GGAAGUUCAGUGGGAGAGUGUCUGCUUUGCAUGCAGAAGAACCUAGGUUCAGUCCCUAGCAUCUCCA
This is a non-coding RNA of Podarcis lilfordi (Lilford's wall lizard), 67 nucleotides long. Lineage: Eukaryota; Metazoa; Chordata; Lepidosauria; Squamata; Lacertidae. The record is from the annotation of a GenBank genome assembly.